AUGUUUUGUAAGGCUUUUGAACUCCUCACCCACCUUCAGUUUUUGGGGUUCUGAUUUGUUUGGGCAGGUGUCAAUCAUUUUAUGUAAUUCGGGAUGAACCUGUGGGAUUGUCAGGGGGCGGGGUUAAUAGAGAAAAGUACGGAGACGAGAAAAAAAAAAAGAAAAAAAAAAGAUGCUGCCGGAAAAAGAGUAAAAAAGACGACAUGUCAUCUCCGAGAGAACUUCCAGUUAACUUGAUAAGAAAGUAUUAUAAGUUAUCGUUAUCAAGCGGGGGGGGUUAUGUGAGUGGUUGUUCAUUUUGUUAAAAUUGUAACCGAGCGUGUUUUGGAAGUGAGGGUUUCGCGACUGGGGACUGUUGCUAGCGGUUAGCAUCGCAGGCUGCUAAUCAGGAGACGCCGGCGGAUGAGGUUGGACGUUGCCACGUUCUGCUGCAUGUCGGAGGAGCCAGAGCAGGACCAAGCAUUGGGACGGGCCAGAGCCCUUGAGAGAGAGUGUAACCACAUCUCCGUUCACUCCAAUGGACCAUUCUCCUCCCCAAUCAAUGGCGGAUCAUGGAGCCUCGCAAUAGUUCCCGGAAGUGAGCAGCAGCGCAUUAGAAUAGCAGCAGAUUGGAUCAAUGGACCGUCUGUUGCACUUAUGAAGGGUCUGUGGAUCCAUCUGUCUGUCACGCGACACAGAGGAGUCUUGACGACCAGAUGCUCACGUUCACAGCCGAGGGAUUUGAAACCACCUUACCCAGUAGCACAGUCGGCCCUGAAAUAGGGUGUUGCUGGGGUGUCGGAGGAUCACACCCUUUUAUGCUUCCCACCUGCUCCGAAACUCACCCUAUACUGUGUCACGAUAUAGCCACACACACUGUCUCUCUCUCUCGCUCACACAGACGCACACCCAGUCGGAGUACCUCUAUAUAGACAAAGAGCACAAAGCACAAAGGUGAUGUAGUGACAGAUGCUCCUGUCACAUACUUAGCAUAUCUCCACCUCCAAAAUAGUUCAGGACUCGAUCUGCCUCUCUCGCUUCACGGAAACCAUCAGUGCCACUCUUCGUAACUCAUUAGUUUCCACUCGAUCUGACAGAUAAGCGCUUUUAAAAACCACAAUCCUUCACCCAAUAUUUAUCCAAUCUGACCAAAUAUUAUAAUUAAUGCGUCUGUCUCGCCUCUCCUCUCCUCUCUCCUCCAGGCCAAUACAUAUCCCCCACUUAUCUCCCUUCCCUCCCACCCUGCCUAACCUUUCAGUGCCAAGUUCACAGAUAGAGAGAAAGUACUUCCUGCGAGAGGCCGGGCCGGCUGCCAGAGAGACUGAUCCACCAAUCUGACACGUUAAUGAGAUCCUGGCCCGUAGCACUGGAGUGUCAGGCCUCCUCCACUGCAGCAUCAGCCCUGGCGUGACCUGCAACACACACACACACACACACACACACACACACACACACACACACACACACACACACACACACACUUACAGAAAUAACCACAUACACACAUGCACAUCUCUACUCAUAUGUGUAAUUUUUUUCACACUUGCAACCCGGAGAAAUUGAGGCACAAAUGAAGCCGAGUUUCUCCACACACACACUCUUUGAGAGGAGGGGGUUUCAGCUCCUUAAAUCUGUCUAAUUAAAACACCAAAUCCCUCUACUCCCCUCACCCACCAACCCAAUCCUCACUUCGCAGCCACACACACACACACAUACGCUCUCGCACCCCCCGCCCUCCUCCAACCUCCGCUGCCGCCACCACCCCCGAUUCCGCAGGAGAAAUGAUUAUUAGGAAUUUAAUGGGGGAACGUUUCCCAUCCCACACCAUCUGGGGCUUGGGAAUGGCACGGAAUUUGAGGAUGCUUGCCGACGUGGCGGGGAACAUUAUUUUCAUUUUUCUUGACUGGUGCUCAGAUUUUCAGACACUGCAGGAAGAAGAAGAAAAAAGUCUCCAGAUUACAAUUAAAUUACCAUAAUAUAUUACAAAAUAAAAAUACAUAUAAAGAUGAA
Long non-coding RNA from Scophthalmus maximus (turbot), 1989 nucleotides. RefSeq lists it as uncharacterized. The record is from RefSeq and is a predicted model, not a curated record. Lineage: Eukaryota; Metazoa; Chordata; Actinopteri; Pleuronectiformes; Scophthalmidae. The transcript is spliced from 2 exons.